RNAcentral lists this ribosomal RNA (1348 nucleotides) under uncultured bacterium. Its description in RNAcentral is "partial 16S ribosomal RNA". It matches the Rfam family "Bacterial small subunit ribosomal RNA", at positions 28 to 1381 of the family's 1533-position model. The record is from RNAcentral.
GACGAACGCUGGCGGCGUGCUUAACACAUGCAAGUCGAACGGAAAGGCCCUGCUUUUGUGGGGUGCCCGAGUGGCGAACGGGUGAGUAACACGUGAGUAACCUGCCCUUGACUUUGGGAUAACUUCAGGAAACUGGGGCUAAUACCGGAUAGGAGCUCCUGCUGCAUGGUGGGGGUUGGAAAGUUUCGGCGGUUGGGGAUGGACUCGCGGCUUAUCAGCUUGUUGGUGGGGUAGUGGCUUACCAAGGCUUUGACGGGUAGCCGGCCUGAGAGGGUGACCGGCCACAUUGGGACUGAGAUACGGCCCAGACUCCUACGGGAGGCAGCAGUGGGGAAUAUUGCACAAUGGGCGGAAGCCUGAUGCAGCAACGCCGCGUGCGGGAUGACGGCCUUCGGGUUGUAAACCGCUUUCGCCUGUGACGAAGCGUGAGUGACGGUAAUGGGUAAAGAAGCACCGGCUAACUACGUGCCAGCAGCCGCGGUGAUACGUAGGGUGCGAGCGUUGUCCGGAUUUAUUGGGCGUAAAAAGGGCUCGUAGGUGGUUGAUCGCGUCGGAAGUGUAAUCUUGGCGCUUAACCCUGAGCGUGCUUUCGAUACGGGUUGACUUGAGGAAGGUAGGGGAGAAUGGAAUUCCUGGUGGAGCGGUGGAAUGCGCAGAUAUCAGGAGGAACACCAGUGGCGAAGGCGGUUCUCUGGGCCUUUCCUGACGCUGAGGAGCGAAAGCGUGGGGAGCGAACAGGCUUAGAUACCCUGGUAGUCCACGCUGUAAACGGUGGGUACUAGGUGUGGGGUCCAUUCCACGGGUUCCGUGCCGUAGCUAACGCUUUAAGUACCCCGCCUGGGGAGUACGGCCGCAAGGCUAAAACUCAAAGGAAUUGACGGGGCCCCGCACAAGCGGCGGAGCAUGCGGAUUAAUUCGAUGCAACGCGUAGAACCUUACCUGGGUUUGACAUGGAUCGGGAGUGCUCAGAGAUGGGUGUGCCUCUUUUGGGGUCGGUUCACAGGUGGUGCAUGGCUGUCGUCAGCUCGUGUCGUGAGAUGUUGGGUUAAGUCCCGCAACGAGCGCAACCCUUGUUCACUGUUGCCAGCACGUUAUGGUGGGGACUCAGUGGAGACCGCCGGGGUCAACUCGGAGGAAGGUGGGGAUGACGUCAAGUCAUCAUGCCCCUUAUGUCCAGGGCUUCACGCAUGCUACAAUGGCUGGUACAGAGAGUGGCGAGCCUGUGAGGGUGAGCGAAUCUCGGAAAGCCGGUCUCAGUUCGGAUUGGGGUCUGCAACUCGACCUCAUGAAGUCGGAGUCGCUAGUAAUCGCAGAUCAGCAACGCUGCGGUGAAUACGUUCCCGGGGCU